Molecule: ribosomal RNA, 492 nt
Filed under: uncultured bacterium
Lineage: Bacteria
Description: partial 16S ribosomal RNA
Rfam family: Bacterial small subunit ribosomal RNA
Source: RNAcentral
AGUGAACGCUGGCGGUAGGCCUAACACAUGCAAGUCGAACGGCAGCACAGUAAGAGCUUGCUCUUACGGGUGGCGAGUGGCGGAAGGGUGAGGAAUACAUCGGAAUCUACUUUUUCGUGGGGGAUAACGUAGGGAAACUUACGCUAAUACGGCAUACGACCUACGGGUGAAAGCAGGGGAUCUUCGGACCUUGCGCGAUUGAAUGAGCCGAUGUCGGAUUCGCUAGUUGGCGGGGUAAAGGCCCACCAAGGCGACGAUCCGUAGCUGGUCUGAGAGGAUGAUCAGCCCCACUGGAACUGAGACACGGUCCAGACUCCUACUGGAGGCAGCAGUGGGGACUAUCGGACAAUGGGCGCAAGCCUGAUCCAGCCAUACCGCGUGGGUUAAGAAGGCCUUCCGGUUGUAAAGCCCUUUUGUUGGGAAAGAAAAGCAGCAGGUUAAUACCCCGCUGUUCUGACGGUACCCAAAGAAUAAGCACCGGCUAACUUCGUG